GGGGAAUUUUGGACAAUGGGCGCAAGCCUGAUCCAGCCAUGCCGCGUGAGUGAAGAAGGCCUUCGGGUUGUAAAGCUCUUUCAGACGGAAAGAAAUCUCUCAGGAUAAUACCUUGGGAGGAUGACGGUACCGUAAGAAGAAGCACCGGCUAACUCCGUGCCAGCAGCCGCGGUAAUACGGAGGGUGCGAGCGUUAAUCGGAAUUACUGGGCGUAAAGCGUGCGCAGGCGGUUUGUUAAGCGAGAUGUGAAAGCCCCGGGCUCAACCUGGGAUGGUCAUUUCGAACUGGCAAGCUAGAGUCUAGUAGAGGGGGGUAGAAUUCCACGUGUAGCAGUGAAAUGCGUAGAGAUGUGGAGGAACACCAAUGGCGAAGGCAGCCCCCUGGGUCGAUACUGACGCUCAUGCACGAAAGCGUGGGGAGCAAACA
This 426-nucleotide ribosomal RNA is filed under the name uncultured beta proteobacterium. RNAcentral describes it as "bacterial SSU rRNA". It matches the Rfam family "Bacterial small subunit ribosomal RNA", at positions 356 to 774 of the family's 1533-position model. The record is from RNAcentral. Lineage: Bacteria; Pseudomonadati; Pseudomonadota; Betaproteobacteria.